This 3090-nucleotide long non-coding RNA is filed under the name Marmota monax (woodchuck). Lineage: Eukaryota; Metazoa; Chordata; Mammalia; Rodentia; Sciuridae. The record is from RNAcentral.
AUAAGGUAUUUACUCUGUUCUCCAGAAAUUUAUGACCAAAUAAUGAAAAGACGCCCUCACCCAACUCUUAAUAAUCAGGCAUAAUAGGAACUUUAAUAAAUUAACCAUCAGCUGUGGAAUUUAAAAUGAGGGGGGAGUGGUUUAGUUUGUCUUUCCCAGAGAUUCUUUCACAUGUCUCCCAAAUAUUAUCAAAAGUCUGCAGCUGCCAUGCCCUAGAAGUGGAGCUGAUAACAAGAUACCUACUGGCCCUAACCUGGGGAGUUGGGGUCACAGCCCCUCCCUGCUGUAUCAUCAAAGGCAGCCAGGCUUUUGGUGCCUUCUGUUGCUCCGAGGACGAAGACGGAUGACACCCUGCACUGUCAGCAUCCUGUGUGGUGUCUGGCCCUGCAUCUUCAGCCUCAGCCAUGCCCUGGGCUCUUAGGUCUUUGGGCUUGCCAGUCUUUUCUCUUGAGAUUUCUUUUGUAUGGAGUGCUUGUUGCACUUCUUCUGCUUCCUGGUCCUGCUUUAAAUGCCAUCUCUUCACAAAAGCCUUCCUUGACCUUCCAGACAAAAUCCAGUGAUCUUAUUACUUGCUUUAAAAUCCAUGUGUAUUCAGGCACCCUGCCUGUCUCCUUCGAAGCACCUUUUCAAUUUAUUUAAAGGGUUGAUGGCUGCCUUUCCUACUAGAAUGUCAACAACAAGGGAGCAGGAUUCAUGUGUCUUUGUUUGACAUCUGUCUCCUCAGUGGCAAGCAUGAUGCUCAAUAGAGAAUUGCAUGAGGAAAGAAAAAGAACUGGUUUCAAGCCCUGACCCUUACCACUCACCAGUUCUAUGACCUUUAGUAGGUCACUUCUUGGAGUCUCCAUUUAUGUUCUGUAGAACAGGGAUAAUGAUGCUAACUUUCCAGUUAUUGAGUGCUUAGUGUGUGCUGGGCACCAUGCUUUACUUGAAUUAGCUUCUCAAUUAAACUUCAUCAGAGAGGUGAAAAGACUGGCUUGAGGUCACACAGCUUGUAAGUAGAAAACAGGAUUUAAACUCUGAUCUUUUAAAUCCAAAACCAGAUUGCUUUUCAUCAUGCCUUUUUAUGAAUGUCCUGGGGAUAAAACUGAUAAGGAAGAAGGUCUUUAAUGCAGGGUGGUAUGGAUGCCUAGGAAUGUGAAUGCAGGAUGGAGAACUCUAAAGAGUUUUAGGCAAUCAGAAUAUGAGGUUAACUCCACCUACUGGAAGAGGUAGGUGACCUCUAAGAAAUUUGCUGGGUCCAGAGGCAGCCUGUGGUGCAAAUGUUCUGAGUCGAGAGAACAUAUGAAUUUGCUGAGAACUGACCUCGCUCUUGCAGUUGGAGCACCACACAAGGCUAAGAAGUUUAAGCUGUGAGCCAGAGAGUGACAAGCCUUGCAGCCUGGCUCAGGGAGUCACUACUUUUGUGAAAUGGCAUGAGGAAACUGAUAGGUUUUUUAUGUUGAAAAUAUUUUUGAAGCAAGAAGUCCCAAGAGUAUCUCUGGGGAUUGAAGUGUCCAAAACCCAUCUCAUAGUUUUGCAUCCCUAGCAAAGGACACAUUUUACCUGAUGGUUUCCUUCCACUGUAGCAUCCAGUGAGACAGCCUUUGAAAAGAAGCCAGCAUUGUGUUCUUUGGUAUAAUUCGUUGUUUUUCUGUAGGAGUAGGUUGCCUAGCUCAAGUGGAUGGCAACCUUGUAAAAGUCACUUAUCCUAGUAGCUUCUCAUCUGGAAAUUAGGAAGAAUAAAAGAUCUACCUUGUUGGUUUAUUAGUGGCAACAUUUACACAAUAUCUGGCUACAAAAUAAAUUUUCAGGGAAUAUUAGCUGCUGUUAUUAAUAUUACCUGUCAUUCCAGCUCAUGCCUCUCCAAUGACUAGGCAUUAUUUAUGUAUUGAAAACAAAUUGGGUCUUAGGAACUAACAUUUUGUUAAAGGUCAUGAUUUUAGGAUGUAUAAAGAUAGUAAAACUGGCAGUGAAGAAGGCAAGGAGUACUUUGGUGGGACAGUGCUAGUGUUUCCUACGUGUGAAAUAUAUAACGUGAACAUAAGUGAGUAUGUUGUGUGCGCAAGGACUGUUCUUUCUGUGUGUUCUCCCUGAGAAGUAGGUUCAAGCAUAUCUGUUUUACAGAUAAGGAAGUCAUGGUCUCUUCUAAAGGAAGUCAUGGUCUCUUCUACGAUGUUACCAGACAGCUGUAGACCUGAGCUCUCAACCAUAUGCUUCUCCAAACUAUUUGUGCCCUCAGCAUUGUAAAGGCUUGACUCAUCUCCUAUCAACCUCAGCAGCUCUGCUGCAUGGGGAAAAUGGGAACUGAACCCUUGAUCGUUUUCUAAUUACUGGAUUAAUUGAAAGCACCAGAGAUAGUGUGUCACUAGAUACUUAGUAGAGGCUCAAUAAACACUUGUUGAAGAUAUAAAUCUUAAUCAGAUUGGGCGUGAGGAAAAAGAUACGUAAAAGCAGUAUUAGAUCCUGGCUUCUCAGCCUUUUAUUCCAUUAUUUAAAAAAAUAAAAAAUAAAGAAAUCUAAAGUUACUAAGCAUUUUAUUAGCAUAGACCAUUUAACACAGACUAGUGGUUGGAGUUUGAGGUGAAGAAGUGAAGAAGUGCUCAGUGUGUGUUGCAUGGUAAUAACUCCAAUUUGCACAAUUUAGUUAUCUCUGGAUACCUGCAGAAGCCCCCACUAGCUAAGAAGCUCCAGGCCCUUGUCUAUGUAUUCGACUGAUUAGUUUAUUCUCAAUAAAAACUACUUUUGACAUUAAAAUAUGCAAACCUAAAUAGGAAGGUGUAUGUGUUUCAAAGCAAGAUCUGACUAAUAUUUGUGUUUUCCUGUAGCUCAGAUAAUUAAGUGUUGACAAAAAGAUAAUGCUAUUUAAUGGUAAUAGGCAGAGAAAGAAGGUUACCUUAUAUCCUACAAUACCAAGCCAGCACCAUUUAAUUUGAGAUUUCCUCUCUCUUCCCCAACAGCAGAAAACUAAAAACAAGGCCGGGCACACUGGUGCAGGCCUGUAAUCCCAGUGGCUUGGAAGGUUGAGGCACUAGGAUGGCAAGUUCAAAGCCAGCCUUAGCAACUUACAAGUCCCCAAGCAACUCAGUGAGACCCUGUCUCUAAAUAAAAUAC